This 253-nucleotide ribosomal RNA is filed under the name uncultured bacterium. Its description in RNAcentral is "partial 16S ribosomal RNA". It matches the Rfam family "Bacterial small subunit ribosomal RNA", at positions 524 to 776 of the family's 1533-position model. The record is from RNAcentral.
UACGUAGGGCGCGAGCGUUAUCCGGAAUUAUUGGGCGUAAAGGGCUCGUAGGCGGUUUGCCGCGUCUGCUGUGAAAGCCCGGGGCUUAACCCCGGGUCUGCAGUGGGUACGGGUAGACUAGAGUGCAGUAGGGGAGACUGGAAUUCCUGGUGUAGCGGUGAAAUGCGCAGAUAUCAGGAGGAACACCGAUGGCGAAGGCAGGUCUCUGGGCUGUUACUGACGCUGAGGAGCGAAAGCAUGGGGAGCGAACAGG